RNAcentral lists this ribosomal RNA (254 nucleotides) under uncultured bacterium. Its description in RNAcentral is "partial 16S ribosomal RNA". It matches the Rfam family "Bacterial small subunit ribosomal RNA", at positions 524 to 776 of the family's 1533-position model. The record is from RNAcentral.
UACGUAGGGGGCAAGCGUUGUCCGGAUUUAUUGGGCGUAAAGAGCUCGUAGGCGGUUCGGUAAGUCGGGUGUGAAACCUCCAGGCUCAACCUGGAGACGCCACCUGAUACUGCUGCGACUCGAGUCCGGUAGGGGAGCGUGGAAUUCCUGGUGUAGCGGUGAAAUGCGCAGAUAUCAGGAGGAACACCAGCGGCGAAGGCGGCGCUCUGGGCCGGAACUGACGCUGAGGAGCGAAAGCGUGGGUAGCAAACAGG